Molecule: ribosomal RNA, 1132 nt
Filed under: uncultured Nostocoides sp.
Lineage: Bacteria; Bacillati; Actinomycetota; Actinomycetes; Micrococcales; Intrasporangiaceae
Description: bacterial SSU rRNA
Rfam family: Bacterial small subunit ribosomal RNA
Source: RNAcentral
GCGGCCUAUCAGCUUGUUGGUGAGGUAAUGGCUCACCAAGGCGACGACGGGUAGCCGGCCUGAGAGGGCGACCGGCCACACUGGGACUGAGACACGGCCCAGACUCCUACGGGAGGCAGCAGUGGGGAAUAUUGCACAAUGGGCGAAAGCCUGAUGCAGCGACGCCGCGUGAGGGAUGACGGCCUUCGGGUUGUAAACCUCUUUCAGCAGGGAAGAAGCGAAAGUGACGGUACAUGCAGAAGAAGCACCGGCUAACUACGUGCCAGCAGCCGCGGUAAUACGUAGGGUGCGAGCGUUGUCCGGAAUUAUUGGGCGUAAAGAGCUUGUAGGCGGUUUGUCGCGUCUGCAGUGAAAAUCCGAGGCUCAACCUCGGACUUGCUGUGGGUACGGGCAGACUAGAGUAUGGUAGGGGAGACCGGAAUUCCUGGUGUAGCGGUGGAAUGCGCAGAUAUCAGGAGGAACACCGAUGGCGAAGGCAGGUCUCUGGGCCAUAACUGACGCUGAGAAGCGAAAGCAUGGGGAGCGAACAGGAUUAGAUACCCUGGUAGUCCAUGCCGUAAACGUUGGGCGCUAGGUGUGGGGCUCAUUCCACGAGCUCCGUGCCGCAGCUAACGCAUUAAGCGCCCCGCCUGGGGAGUACGGCCGCAAGGCUAAAACUCAAAGGAAUUGACGGGGGCCCGCACAAGCGGCGGAGCAUGCGGAUUAAUUCGAUGCAACGCGAAGAGCCUUACCAAGGCUUGACAUAUACCGGAAACAUCCAGAGAUGGGUGCCCCGCAAGGUCGGUAUACAGGUGGUGCAUGGUUGUCGUCAGCUCGUGUCGUGAGAUGUUGGGUUAAGUCCCGCAACGAGCGCAACCCUCGUUCUAUGUUGCCAGCGCGUAAUGGCGGGGACUCAUAGGAGACUGCCGGGGUCAACUCGGAGGAAGGUGGGGAUGACGUCAAAUCAUCAUGCCCCUUAUGUCUUGGGCUUCACGCAUGCUACAAUGGCCGGUACAAAGGGCUGCGAUACCGCGAGGUGGAGCGAAUCCCAAAAAACCGGUCUCAGUUCGGAUUGGGGUCUGCAACUCGACCCCAUGAAGUCGGAGUCGCUAGUAAUCGCAGAUCAGCAACGCUGCGGUGAAUACGUUCCCGG